UCCGGCGACCGGCGCACGGGUGAGUAACACGUAUGCGAACCUGCCCUCUUCAGGGGGACGAACCUUCCGAAAGGGAGGCUAAUCCCGCGUAUAUCGGUUUCGGGCAUCCGAGAUCGAGGAAAGAUUCAUCGGAAGAGGAUGGGCAUGCGGCGCAUUAGCUAGACGGCGGGGUAACGGCCCACCGUGGCGACGAUGCGUAGGGGUUCUGAGAGGAAGGUCCCCCACACUGGUACUGAGACACGGACCAGACUCCUACGGGAGGCAGCAG
RNAcentral lists this ribosomal RNA (268 nucleotides) under uncultured bacterium. Its description in RNAcentral is "partial 16S ribosomal RNA". It matches the Rfam family "Bacterial small subunit ribosomal RNA", at positions 87 to 354 of the family's 1533-position model. The record is from RNAcentral.